Molecule: ribosomal RNA, 378 nt
Filed under: uncultured bacterium
Lineage: Bacteria
Description: bacterial SSU rRNA
Rfam family: Bacterial small subunit ribosomal RNA
Source: RNAcentral
AUACGUAGGGUGCGAGCGUUAUCCGGAAUUAUUGGGCGUAAAGAGCUCGUAGGCGGUUUGUCACGUCUGCUGUGAAAGCUCGGGGCUUAACUCCGAGUGUGCAGUGGGUACGGGCAGGCUGGAGUGCAGUAGGGGAGACUGGAAUUCCUGGUGUAGCGGUGAAAUGCGCAGAUAUCAGGAGGAACACCGAUGGCGAAGGCAGGUCUCUGGGCUGUUACUGACGCUGAGGAGCGAAAGCAUGGGGAGCGAACAGGAUUAGAUACCCUGGUAGUCCAUGCCGUAAACGUUGGGCACUAGGUGUGGGGAACAUUCCACGUUUUCCGCGCCGUAGCUAACGCAUUAAGUGCCCCGCCUGGGGAGUACGGCCGCAAGGCUAAA